Vidua chalybeata is the source of this 1413-nucleotide long non-coding RNA. RefSeq lists it as uncharacterized. NCBI's taxonomy places the organism in Eukaryota, Metazoa, Chordata, Aves, Passeriformes, Viduidae. The transcript has 3 exons. The record is from RefSeq and is a predicted model, not a curated record.
CCUGCGGAACACUGCUGCCACAUCCACCUGCUUAGAAACAUCCCCGGUUUCUGAAGAGCUUGGAAUUAGCAUCCUAACGCUAAGAUAACACUUCCACAUUACCAUAAACAAGUCAUUAAGUAUAAUUAAUACUAAAUUACCAAACUGUAGAAAAUGCUGCUGUAACUGUUGCUAAUAAGAUGUAGGUUGACACAGCUGCUGGUUCUUUGCAAUCAGGAUGGCCAGGCUCAUGUAAGCCCCGUGAAGGCUCAGGUUUUUAUUGUUAUUACUUUCAAACCUUCUCACCUUUUGACAUUUUCUCAUCUUAUCAUUAGCAUGACUAAAGCCAAGUUCUAAACAUCCUAUCUAGGCUGAAAAGCUUCUACUUAAUGUUCUGUCAAACUUCUACCUACUGUUUUCUGUCAUCAGGCAAUGCCUUAAGUCUAUUAAAUUAAGAUUGGAUGCGAUAAGGCUGCUCUGUCUAGAGGCCCGUUGCCAAAUGACUGAGUGAACUGUAUCAGAGCAUUUAUCGGACAACUACUUGCUGGCCCUCGAGCAGCAAAAGGAGGAGCAGAAGCUUUUGGACUGGCAGAGACCUGCUGAGGUUUGUACAUUAACUGCAGGCCCUUCCAGCACAUCUAACUGUACAACUGCGUGUGUUCCUGAGAUGGAUGAACAUACAGCAGAACAAGCAGGCACCCUGAGGAGUGGCUAAGGCUGCACUUCCUGAAGAGCACCUCAAAUGAGAGCUUGUGUGUGUGACUGAUGAUAAACCACGACCUGGUUAGCAGUACAGGGAUCUUCUCUCUUGUCCCACCAGCCAGUUGUGUUCAGAAGAAAGGUGUCCUCUUCUACACAUCCUCCCAAACUCCAACAAUAAAUGGAAGAUCUCGGAGAACUACAAGUUUUAUCAAUGAGGAUCUUUGAUACACUUUCAUUAAUUCCACUACCAAAUGUGAACCUAACUACUAACAGGGACCUAACACUAACUAAAGGAAAGAGAGCAUAUACAAUAAUUCCUACCAUUAAAUUAGAACUAAGCCUUAAAUAGGGGAAGUAAUAAGAGAAAUUUGGAUUACUAUCCCUUCCUUCUCCCCCAUGAGAAACGGGACUCCAGACACAUUUCACUGUGUGGAAAUUUCCAAUUUGUAAUCUGAUUAAGAUGUCUGACCACAGUUGUUUGAGUGAGCCAUGAGACACUUGUCAAUGCAAACUAUGUUGAAGUUCAAGAUCUACAGAGCAGUGUAGAUCUUCGGAGUAAUGCUGGAAAGGUUGGUUUUGUUUUUUUUUUUUCCUCCCCAAUUUCUGUCAUUAAGGGAAGUUUUAAGCAUGCUUGAAAUAAAGACCAUACACACUAUCAUGACUUUUCCCAUGUAGACAAGACAAUUAAGGCCAAAUGACAUCCAGUAUUAUUCACCAACAGCUGCUUCACCC